AACCUACCUAUCAGAACGGGGAAGUAACCCGGCGAAAGUCGGACUAAUAACCGCAUAAAACAGGGGCACCGCAUGGUGAUAUUUGUUAAAGAAAUUCGCUGAUAGAUGGGCAUGCGUUCCAUUAGGUAGUUGGUGAGGUAACGGCUCACCAAGCCGACGAUGGAUAGGGGAACUGAGAGGUUGGUCCCCCCACACUGGUACUGAGACACGGACCAGACUCCUACGGGAGGCAGCAGUGAGGAAUAUUGGUCAAUGGGCGGGAGCCUGAACCAGCCAAGUCGCCGUGAAGGAAGAAGGAUCUAUGGUUCGUAAACUUCUUUUGCAGGGGAAUAAAGUGCAGGACGUGUCCUGUUUUGUAUGUACCCUGAGAAUAAGGAUCGGCUAACUCCGUGCCAGCCGCGGC
Molecule: ribosomal RNA, 403 nt
Filed under: uncultured bacterium
Lineage: Bacteria
Description: bacterial SSU rRNA
Rfam family: Bacterial small subunit ribosomal RNA
Source: RNAcentral